GGCCGCCUGGCGAAAUGGCAUCGCGUCUGACUACGAUCAAGCACUGGGUGUAAACUCGGUUACUUGAGAAAUCAGGAGAUUGCAGGUUCGACCCCUGCGGUGGUCA
This is a non-coding RNA of Trametes polyzona, 106 nucleotides long. NCBI's taxonomy places the organism in Eukaryota, Fungi, Basidiomycota, Agaricomycetes, Polyporales, Polyporaceae. The record is from the annotation of a GenBank genome assembly.